AUGGGAAGAGGCCUGGAGUGGCUCGGGGCAGUGAAGGGGAAUAGAGAUGAGGAGGCGCGGAGUGAAGAGCCGGGAAGGAGGAGGGUUCGGAAGAGAGAAGAGAAGAGUGUGUCGACCAUGCGCUUGUAUGGAACACCAUCAGCCGAUCCACACUCUGCUCUGCCAACCUUGCUUCAUUUGGCCUCUGCAGAUACCCACACACCUUCACCCCCUCUUGGUUCUUCGUUUGGCUGGAUUGUAGGUGGCCUUUUGCAAGAAGAGUUUCAGUGCUCAGCAUAUUGCAGUCAUUGCAGCAGCGAGUUCUAUGAAGCACAUCAAUCAAGGCUCCGCUGGUUCUUUGUUCUUGCUGCGCUUUGGGUUGACUUGCCAUGGAACCGUUUGGCUGAGGUGUCUCCAUCACCAUUAUUUGCUAUGUUUUGGAUUUGCCAGCUCACUGACUGCUACAUUUUUCCUCUUGUUGGCCUCUUCUUUUUCUGUCGUCGUCCAUCGAUCCAACCUGCUGUUGUUCGCUUCGUCGGCUUGCAGUUGCUUCUAGAGCGUGCUGUGGAUUCGUUGUGCCUCCUUCCAAUAUAG
This 573-nucleotide ribosomal RNA is filed under the name Triticum aestivum (bread wheat). RNAcentral describes it as "partial small subunit ribosomal RNA". The record is from RNAcentral. Lineage: Eukaryota; Viridiplantae; Streptophyta; Magnoliopsida; Poales; Poaceae.